CCUGUGGCUGGAAGGCAGUGUGCUGUUAGCGGCUGCUGUGCUGAAUGGAGCAGUCACUACCACACUGCCACCUGCUGCAGGGAUAGACUACUGC
Gallus gallus (chicken) is the source of this 94-nucleotide microRNA precursor. Ensembl annotates it as gga-mir-449b. Its record names the gene gga-mir-449b. Lineage: Eukaryota; Metazoa; Chordata; Aves; Galliformes; Phasianidae. The record is from Ensembl.